Molecule: ribosomal RNA, 506 nt
Filed under: uncultured bacterium
Lineage: Bacteria
Description: partial 16S ribosomal RNA
Rfam family: Bacterial small subunit ribosomal RNA
Source: RNAcentral
AGUGAACGCUUGCGGUAGGCCUAACACAUGCAAGUCGAACGGCAGCACAGGAGAGCUUGCUCUCUGGGUGGCGAGUGGCGGACGGGUGAGGAAUACAUCGGAACCUACUCCGUCGUGGGGGAUAACGUAGGGAAACUUACGCUAAUACCGCAUACGACCUACGGGUGAAAGCAGGGGAUCUUCGGACCUUGCGCGAUUGAAUGAGCCGAUGUCGGAUUAGCUAGUUGGCGGGGUAAAGGCCCACCAAGGCGACGAUCCGUAGCUGGUCUGGGAGGAUGAUCAGCGACUCGGGAACUGAGGCACGGUCCAGACUACUGUGGGAGGCAGCAAUGGGGAAUAUUGGACAAUGGGCGCAAUCCUGAUCCAGCCAUACCGCGUGGGUGAAGAAGGCCUUCGGGUUGUAAUGCCCUUUUGUUGGGAAAGAAAUCCAACUGACUAAUACCCGGUUGGGAUGACGGUACCCAAAGAAUAAGCACCGGCUAACUUCGUGCCAGCCGCCGCAGUAA